RNAcentral lists this long non-coding RNA (7640 nucleotides) under Vigna radiata. RNAcentral describes it as "long non-coding RNA (VRAD_LNC013442)". The record is from RNAcentral. Lineage: Eukaryota; Viridiplantae; Streptophyta; Magnoliopsida; Fabales; Fabaceae.
CGCCUCAUUUCAUUUCCUCCGCCUCCUUCUCUUUUCUUUUUCUCUUUCUCUCCUUUUUUUCUCUCAUUUUGGUUGAAAGCCUGAAAACUGAAACCUCCUCUGUCAGACUGGUAAGUUCUCAUAAAAUACAUGCAUGUUUUUUUUAAGAUAAUUAAAAAAUAAUGUUAAAUUUACAUGAAAUCUUAAUUUAUAUUAAUAUAUUAUGUCAUAGUAUGUUAUUGCUAUCUGUUUGAAAAACAUGGAUCUACUUUUAUGUAUCUGUAUAUUCUGAAUAUAUUUUUACAUAUACAAACUCUUAAGAUUUUUUUUUUUUCAUUUAGUAGUAUGCAUUAUUUUUAUUUUUAACAAUUUCUUUUAUCAUAUAUAUAUAUAUAUAUAGCUAACUACAUUAACAAAUCACUUUAUUUAUUCAUCUCCCAAAAGAAAUUUAGAAGUUAAAAUUUUUUAGAUAUUAUAUUAAUUUAUACAUGAGCUCUUACAUAAGAUCUUAUUCACAAAUUAUAUUUCCUAUUAUUUAAUCAUCUGUUAUAUUGCUAUCAGGUAAGAAGAGAUCCAACAAAUACAUGCAUCAAAAACAUCAAUGGCCAAAUCCACGAUUUGAUCUUUCGCAGCAAAAACAUUACAGGUUAGUAUAUAAAAUCUAUAUUGCUCCUCAGAUCUACCUGUUUUUAGAACAUGCAAUAUUGUGCAAAGUGUCACAAAUAAUAUAUUAAAUUAAGUUAAAUAUAAUUUUGGUUUCUUAAUUGUUAACUUGAAAUUAUUAUUAUUUUAAUUUUAAAUUAAUUUAAUCUCUCAUAUUUAAAAUAGUAUAAAUUUAGUUUUUUAAUUAAAUUUUAUUUUGAUUAAAUAUAUUUUUCAAUUAACAUUGAAAAAAAUGUUAAAUAAUAUAAAUAAUUCAAAUGCUAUUAUAAUAUUUAUUAAAUAAAAUUUUUAAAAAAUUAACAUUUAUUAUAUAAUAUUUAAUUAUCAAUAAAUUACAUAUAUAUAUAUAUAUAUAUAUAUAUAUAUAUAUAUAUAUAUAUGUNNNNNNNNNNNNNNNNNNNNNNNNNNNNNNNNNNNNNNNNNNNNNNNNNNNNNNNNNNNNNNNNNNNNNNNNNNNNNNNNNNNNNNNNNNNNNNNNNNNNNNNNNNNNNNNNNNNNNNNNNNNNNNNNNNNNNNNNNNNNNNNNNNNNNNNNNNNNNNNNNNNNNNNNNNNNNNNNNNNNNNNNNNNNNNNNNNNNNNNNNNNNNNNNNNNNNNNNNNNNNNNNNNNNNNCUAAUAUUAAAGUGAAAUUUCAUCAUUUCAUAAUAUAUUUUAUAAAACUAUGAGUACAAACCAUUAGUCACAUGUUUUACAUAAUUAAAUUUUAAUAUAUCUGAUUAAUAUAUGAUAUUUUAUAAAUCAAAAUAUUUCAACCGAAACUAUGAAUGAAAUAUCAAGAAAAAUUAUUAAAAUAAUUAAGAUCAUUAUCAAUCUUCACUAAUGCAUAUAAAAUUUAUAUUAUAUCUAAAAUCAAAGAAUUUACUACUAAUUAAAAGUGAAUAUUCGAUUUUUCACAGUAAAGACAAUACAAUGUAAAAAACCUCAUUAUGUUAGCAUCCAAAUUUAAUGCAACACAAUAAUUUUAAAUAAAAUAUAUAUAAACAUUGUUUUUGUAAAAAAUAUUAAACAAAUAUUAUUAGACAAAUAUCACUUAUUAAAAAGAGAUAAGUGUAUUUGUCAUAUUAAUAUUAAUAAAUUAUUCAACGAGUUUUGUCAUAAUAAUAUUAAUAAAUUAUUCAACGAAUUAAAAGUUAACGGUUAUAAAAUAAGCAUUUCAUCAUCUGUUACAGUAACUUGGAUGCUAAUAUAAUAAGGUAAUGAGAUUUUGUAUAAUAUGUAAUGUCUUGUGAAAAUCAAAUGUAUAUUUCAUUGGCAGCAUAAUAUCAGAUAAAAAAAUUCCAUUUACAUUUUUUAUGAAUGUCAAAUUUAGCAUUAUCUUAUUUAUUGAUUUGAAAAAAGAAAACACAAUAGCUAAUUUCAUAUACUUGUAUACCGUUUAUGUCAUUAUGCAAAUAAGUAAGAAAAGAUGCAAUAUUGUGGAGGAAAUAUCAACUUAGUUGCAUGAUAUAUCAUCAAAUUAUUUACCAAAUUUAUUUUUUAACAUUGCUUAGUAUAUAUGAGAAACUAUCACUUUACAAUAUUAUUAAUAUUUAAAUUGAUUAAGUUUUUCUUUGUAGUUAAUACAUUAUUAAUUAAUGAUAUAUUACACUCUCAAAUGUCCUUUAAUGCACUAAUAUCACAAUGCAAUUAAUUGAAUUCACACUUAAGAAUGUGAGUUAAGACAGCAAUUUGAUUGAAACAUGAUCUAAGAGCACACUCUCCUUUAAGAUUCGAUCUGAAAUCUGAUGCAACAUGCUGCCUUCAGCUCUAUACCCUGAUAGUCCUUCAUGCUUUUUGUUAUAUUAUUAUUCAUAUAAAACAAUUCUCAUCAUAUCCAUAUAUAAUCUUUUAACCUUUAUGCAAUAAGACUUCCAUUAAGUUGCUCUGCAAUUUCUCCCUCUCUGUCGCUUCUUAAGUAAAAGUGUUUUGGUACGAGGCUUUCAAUAUACUAUUCCAAUGAAAAAUAACAUGUUUCAAGAUAAUUAUAGUUUAAUUUUGAAUAAUAAAAAGCUCUACCUAUUUGUUUCAAGGUAUUUGUUUAUGUAUAUAUACCUGAAACCACUUUAUGAUAUUAUUAUUUAUUAUUAUUAUUAUCAGAUAAAAUUUAUUAAAUAUAGAAGCUACAUCAGAGCACAAAUAUCAAAUGGUUAAAAUAACAUUCUCCAUCACAACCCUUAUGCAUAUUCACUUGUAUGAAUUUUAUUCCUAAAAGGUUCCCAAAAGUGUAGUGAAUUGCUGUGGUCUCUGUAGAUGGUGUGAAGUCUACAUAAAAUGAAAUAGACAAUAGAGCUGAAGGUGGUUGGAGAGCGUAAUGAAAAUCAAGUGAAAGAGAAGCUAUACAGAAAAUGGUAACUAAUUUAUCCAUGGUAAGAAAAUCAUGGCAAAGUGGUGUACUACCUUGACAAUUUAGGGUUGAAAAAUGUUUAGAAAGAAAAAACCUAGAGCUUUCUUAAUCCUACUAAACUUGUCAUGAGUUCUACCAUUGCUUUCUUGCCAAAAACAUCAUAAGUUAUCUGACUCUUCAUAUUAUCAGUUGGCAUUUCAUAGUUACAUAAUAUUUUCAUAAUCAAGAUUAUAUAUUACAUAGAAUAAGCAUAAUAAUGAGAGUUGAAAUUUAAAUUGUUAAUUUAGACAUACAAAUAUAAAUAUAUAUAUAUAUAUAUAUAUAUAUAUAUAUUACACGAGGUUUCUUAUAUAUAGAAACUAACCAAAUCACUAGGCAAAGCUCUAAGUGAUAUCUGUAGAAACUAAAACCAGUCUUAAGGUACAGAGUUAAAACAACAUUUGAAGAGUUUGCAAUUAAGAGAGCUAAUGGUCAUGGCAAUUAAAACAAACUUAUACAUUAUUAUGCUCGUAUUUUAAUUUUUUUAUUAUUAUCAAAGUAAAAGUAUAACUUAAAUAAGAUUAAAAAUGUGAACCCAAAAAGGAAAAGAAUCAUCUUACAAUGUCACUUCUUUCAAUUUUGACAAUGUUUUCUGUAGGGUUCCCAUGUUUGCUGGGAAAAAUAUCUAAAUCUUCAUCUAACUCAUCAAGAAUAUAAUUUGGCUUCUUUAUUCUAGAUUUUUCACGAAGUCGAUAUGCAACUAUUUAUAUUCUGCCAUGAUAGAAUUUUCUUAUAAACAAAUAGAAACAACAACAGAAAACUUUUUGUAUCAACAAAAAAAAAAACUUCAGGAAACAAAUAAUAUAUCAAAAAUUGUUAAAACUUCUUCUACAUUUAUCAUCAAUCAAGGAAAUAAAUUGAAAUUUUAGGGAAGAAGCAAGUUACACUAACAGUUGAAUCACUUUUCACAAUGUUUUUUCUAGGUCUCCCUCGUUUCCUAGGGAGAAUAACUGAAUCGUUUGAAUCAUCAAUAAUAUUUUUCCGUUUCUUUUGACGGGAGCUUCCAGGAAGCCCUUCAACCAAGUCACCCAUAUUCUGUUAAGAUAGAAUUUUCUCAUAUAUUUCUGCAUGCUUAUGAGAAAAUUCUAUCUUAGCAAAAUAUGAGUGGCUUGGUUGAAGGGCUUCCUAGAAGCUUCCGUCAAAGGAAACGGAAAAAUAUUAUUGAUGAUUCAAAUGAUUCAAUUAUUCUCCCUAGGAAACGAGGGAGACCUAGAAAAAACACUGUGAAAAGUGAUUCAACUGUCACUGUAACUUGCUUCUUCCCUAAAAUUUCAAUUUAUUUCCUUGAUUGAUGAUAAAUGUAGAAGAAGUUUUAACAAUUUUUGAUAUAUUAUUUGUUUCCUGAAGUUUUUUUUUGGUUGAUACAAAAAAUUUUCUGUUGUUGUUUCUAUUUGCUUAUAAGAAAAUUCUAUCAUAGCAGAAUAUAAAUAGUUGCAGAUCGACUUCGUGAAAAAUCUCGAAUAAAGAAGCCAAAUUAUAUUCUUGAUGAGUUAGAUGAAGAUUUAGAUAUUUUUCCUAACAAACAUGGGAACCCUUCAGAAAACAUUGUCAAAAUUGAAAGAAGUGACAUUGUAAGAUGAUUUUUUUCCUUUUUGGGUUUAUAAUUUUAAUCUUAUUUAAGUUAUACUUUUACUUUGAUAAUAAUAAAAAAAUUAAAAUACUAGCAUCAUAAUCUAUAAGUUUGUUUUAAUUGCCAUGACUACUAGCCCCCUAACCGCAAACUCUUCGGAUGUUGCUUUAACUAUACCUUAAAAUUGUUUUUAGUUUCGAGAGAUAUCACUUAAGUGAUAAAGCUUUGCCUAGUGAUUUGAUAUAUAUAUAUAUAUAUAUAUAUAUAUAUAUAUAUAUAUAUAUAUAUAUAUAUAUAUAUAUAUAUAUAUAUAUAUACAUGUAUAUACAUAGAUGUAUAUACAUGUAUAUACAUGUAUAUACAUAUAUAUGUAUAUACAUGUAUAUACAUACAUGUACAUACAUAGAUGUAUAUACAUGUAUAUAUCUAUGUAUAUACAUACAUGUACAUACAUAGAUGUAUAUACAUAGUAUACAUGUAUAUUCAUGUAUGUAUAUAUAUAUAUAUAUCCAUAUAUACAUACAUGAAUAUACAUGUAUACUAUGUAUAUGCACCUAUGUAUGUACAUGUAUGUAUAUUCAUAGAUAUAUACAUGUUGGAGGAAGUCACGCCGCGUACGACGGUUCGACCUCUACCUUUGCUACCCUAACCUACUCUCUUUUCCUUUUAAAACAAAACGCCCCGAAGGCCUAAGGUAAUCUCCUGUGUUUUUUGCUUAAGGAUUCAACUCCUUUGUUGCUUAAUUUCAUUAUCUGUUUUGCUUCGAGAAGCUGUUUUAUAGGUAUCACUACAAAAAAUAUUAAUUUUACGAGGGUUUUUUUUAGUAUUUCCAGGGGUUUUAACCUCCAAACAAAACCUUUCCCGCGGUUCAGAGAGCCACUGGGAAAACCAGUGUCCCAAAAUUACCAACGGAACUAGCCAGGGUUUCUAGAAAACCGCCCCAAUUUUCAAGGGUUUUGGACAAACCACCGGAAUUAAUCCGAGUUGUGCCAAACCGCUCCUAUUUCGAGGGGUUUUUAAAAAACCGUCGGAACUAACCAGGGUUAUGCUAAACCGCUCCUAUUACAUUGAACCUCCCCUUUUUUCCAGGGGUUUCCAAAAAACCGUCGGAAAUGCUUCCAGUUUUUUUUUUUUUUUUGUUGCCAAGGGUUCUUCCUUAACUGACUCAACCACGUUUAGUGAGUUCUCUUUAUCCAUCCCCUCUCUCUAAAACUCUCAUUUUUCUCAUACUAAGAUACAUUACCAAUUACUUCCUUAAAAAUUGAAUUUGGGCGGGCAUAUAAUAAUUUAGAAACUGGUAAACAAUAAUAAAGAAAUAUAAGACAAAAACUAAAAUAUUAUAGACUACGGAAAUAAUGAGUGUGUUAAUAAUGGACAGUCUUCAGGAUCAUCUACACUAUAUCUGAGUGAUAUUAGAGUCGUUUUGGAACUACAAUGAACUGAAAUAUUAAGAAAAACUUCAAUGUCUUACAUAUUCAACAAGACCAAAUAUUUCUAUUGUGAGAAGAUCUUUUCCUAGCUUGCCUCGAUGCCAAAAGAAGUUGCAAAAUGAUGUAUCAUCCGUGUUAUGAUUCUCUUCUAGGCCAUCUAACAAGGAUUUACCAAGGUGCUCUGCAUAUUCAUCUUCAAGUAAUUCCACAACCUUUCCUUCACCACCUAGCACAUUGCAUUUGAAGCAUGAGUUAAGCGAAAUAUUUUGAGUUAUGACAUUUAGCAUCAUGAUAUGCGGUCUUCUUUAAAACAGAAAUUCAAAAAAGUGAGUAUAACAUCAAAUAAUAAGUUGUUGACUUGGGGAGCUGAAGUGCUUCCGAAAAUCCUUUUCUAUUUUUUAUUCCAGUUCCCUAAGACUACGUCCUUCAUGAACAACUUUCAGUUGCAGAUAUAACAUGUAACUUCUCUUUUACUUUACUUCUUGCAUUUCUCAAAUAGCCAUGUUUAGAUUCAGAGAUAGAUUCCCUGUGGAAUGAUGCGUGUCCAUUAAGUACUGCUUGAUGUUACUGAUCUGAAAAGUAUAACAUCGCUGGCAGAUUUCAUCAAAAGUAAGAAAAAACUUGUGGUUUUUGUUGGUUGUAAUCUUGUCAUCAACCUUUUUUAUAAAUCAGUUGAUAGAGUAACAUAAACAUAUUGGAAACAUGGAAAUUGUGUAGGUAAACAAUGCUGGAAUUCCUGGAGCACAUGUGGACGCUGAGGCUUUGUCUGCUGCUGGCAUUAUGUUAUGGAAUUAGUAUAUCUGAAAUGUUGGAAAAUUUGUAUAUUUUACAAUGCUGGAAGAGAUUGAUGAAGUGUGCAUAACUUGAAUCAAGCAUUUAAAACUUCACAUUCAUGGCUUGCACUUAUAGAUGUUUCCCUUAAUCAAUUCACCAAAGAAAUCAAGUUUAUGGUUAAGUUGUUUGGUGCAGGAAAAUGCUGGUCGUGUUGAAUUCUUGAUGUUAGAAAUAUUAUAUAUAAGACAAUUAUUGCAGUAUACUAAAUGAGUGAGUUCUAGUCAAUUGCACCGGCAACAACAACCAAUCAUCAUACUUUCCUCACCAAAACAUAAAGCUUAAUAAACUCAUAUUUAGCUUUAUUCCAUGUUAUUGUGCAUAGUUUUAUUAAAUGUGUAAGUAAACAACAUAGUAUUUAGCUUGUUGCAAUUAUGCUAUAACAUGUAAAAGUGCAUACAUAAAUAGUGAUGGAGAUUAGUUCUUAAGCAAGAAUCUUGAGCUGAGAAUGUAAGAAAAAGAUCGCUUAUAACAUGCAACGGAGAAAAUUGCAUGAUCACAAUUCAAUAACUCAUGAAAAAGAGGGAAAUUGACUUACCUACACCGAAUCGGAAAUUGAUCGGUCUAGAACGUAGCUCUCAGCUCAAGGAUCGCUCAGGAACUUCCUGAUCAACAAUUGAACGGUUAAAUUUUGAGAUGGUGUAGUGAGAAGGUAGAGAAUUUAGAAGAUAUGUUUCUAGAGAGAGAAAACUGUUAAUAAAAUGAACGAGGAUCUAUUUUUUUUUUCUAUUUAUAUUAGAAUAAAAAUUGAAGUCCUUAUGGUCAACAUCUAUGUCCAAAACCGACACAUAUACUAGGAUCUUCU